This 267-nucleotide ribosomal RNA is filed under the name uncultured Mollicutes bacterium. RNAcentral describes it as "partial 16S ribosomal RNA". It matches the Rfam family "Bacterial small subunit ribosomal RNA", at positions 1114 to 1381 of the family's 1533-position model. The record is from RNAcentral. Lineage: Bacteria; Bacillati; Mycoplasmatota; Mollicutes.
GUUGCUAACGCGUGAAGGCGAGCACUCUAGACGAACUGCCGUUGACAAAACGGAGGAAGUGGGAUGACGUCAAAUCAUCACUGCCCUUUAUGACCUGGGCUACAAACGUACUACAAUGGCCAAUACAAAAAGAUGCGAAGCGGUGACGUGGAGCGAACCUCAGAAAGUUGGUCUCAGUUCAGAUUGAAGUCUGCAACUCGACUUCAUGAAGGCGGAAUCGCUAGUAAUCGCGGGUCAGCAGACCGCGGUGAAUACGUUCCCGGGUUU